CGACCUCAGAUCAGGCGGGACUACCCGCCGGAUUUAAGCAUAUUAAUAAGCGGAGGAAAAGAAAACAACCGUGAUUCCCUUAGUAGCGGCGAGCGAACCGGGAAAAGCCCAUCGCCGAAUCUCGCCGCGCACUUUUGUGUCGCGGCACGUAUGAGAGUUGUGGCGUACGGGCCGGCCUCGUUGCCGGGGCGCACGUGACGGUCCAAGUCUCCCUUGAACGGGGCCAUGGCCCGCAGAUGGUGCCAGGCCAGUAGAGGCCGUCACAGCGUUCCGGGAUCGGACCGCGCCUUCGAGUCGGGUUGCUUGAGAGUGCAGCCCGAAGCGGGUGGUAAACUCCAUCUAAGGCUAAAUACGGCCACGAGACCGAUAGUUUACAAGUACCGUGAGGGAAAGUUGAAAAGAACUUUGAAGAGAGAGUUCAUAAGAACGUGAAACCGCUCGGUUGUAAACGGACAGAGCUCGCGAAUCCCCGCCGGGCGAAUUCACGGUCGGUCUAACCGCCGGCCGGAUCUUUCGCUCGGUUAGCGGACGUCGCGACCCGUUGGGCGCCGGCCGAAUGGCCCGGGUGACGUUCGUCGCGUCGGUCGCGUUUCGGCGUGACCGUUCGCGCCGAGCCCCGGUGCUCAUGGUCGGCUCGCCCGACGGCAAGAACCGUCGACGCGGCCCCGUCGCAGGCGGGGUCCCGUCGGUCGGCGACGUGUUUCGAGCUACUUUCCGACCCGUCUUGAAACACGGACCAAGGAGUCUAACGUGUGCGCGAGUCAACGGUGAUCUUACGAAAAACCACGUUUGGCGCAAUGAAAGUGAACCGUUUACGGUGCGGACGAUGGCCUAGCGACCGAACCCACCGGCGUUCAAAGUCGCGCUGGUCCGCAGUCCGGGGGCGUCUCCGCCAAGUCGGCUUCGGCCGGCUGGGGGCGCACCCUUAGCGCACACGUUGGUACCCGAAAGAUGGUGAACUAUGCCUGGCCAGGAUGAAGUCAGGGGAAACCCUGAUGGAGGUCCGCAGCGAUUCUGACGUGCAAAUCGAUCGUCUGAGCUGGGUAUAGGGGCGAAAGACUAAUCGAACCAUCUAGUAGCUGGUUCCAUCCGAAGUUUCCCUCAGGAUAGCUGGCGCCGAUGUGUCCCGCCCGUUCGCGGGCGUACGGACGCCGGUGGGACUCCGCGCUGUACGGCGCGGUAACAACACGCUCGUAACACGGAGGAUGUCUCAUACGGUAAAGCGAAUGAUUAGAGGACAUUGGGGCCGAAACGACCUCAACCUAUUCUCAAACUAUAAAUGAGUGAGAUCGCCGGCUUUACCUGGUACACCGCGUGAACCGCGUGCGAAGCCGGCGACGGAACCCUAGG
RNAcentral lists this non-coding RNA (1350 nucleotides) under Acyrthosiphon pisum (pea aphid). RNAcentral describes it as "Eukaryotic large subunit ribosomal RNA". It matches the Rfam family "Eukaryotic large subunit ribosomal RNA", at positions 1 to 1119 of the family's 3401-position model. The record is from Rfam by way of RNAcentral. Lineage: Eukaryota; Metazoa; Arthropoda; Insecta; Hemiptera; Aphididae.